GACGUAGGGCGCGAGCGUUGUCCGGAAUCACUGGGCGUAAAGCGCGUGUAGGCGGUCCGUUAAGUCUGAUGUGAAAGCCCGGGGCUCACCCCCGGAAGGGCAUUGGAAACUGGCGGACUCGAGUCCCGGAGAGGAGGGUGGAAUUCCUGGUGUAGCGGUGAAAUGCGUAGAUAUCAGGAGGAACACCGGUGGCGAAGGCGGCCCUCUGGACGGUGACUGACGCUGAGGCGCGAAAGCGUGGGGAGCAAACA
RNAcentral lists this ribosomal RNA (251 nucleotides) under uncultured prokaryote. Its description in RNAcentral is "partial 16S ribosomal RNA". It matches the Rfam family "Bacterial small subunit ribosomal RNA", at positions 524 to 774 of the family's 1533-position model. The record is from RNAcentral.